AUAUCCGCUGGGAGCGUUAACUUUGACACAUGGUCACGUGGUACACUGUGGAUGUUUGUGGGACGAUCUUAUGUGUAUUCCUUAUGGGUGAUUUGCAAAAACAAGAGAUUAUUUAAAAUAUUACUAUUAAUUUUGUACAAUUGUAUCAAUACAUCACAAGAAAUUCGCUAUAAAUACUAUAUAUGGUAGAAAAUGUCUGAUAUAAUACAUAAAUAUAAUUUCGAUAUACAAACUUAGGAAGAGAUUUUUAGGUUGGUUAACAGCCGAAAUGUGAGGUUACGGCUGUCAAGAAGGACUUCGUAAAUGUAAACAAAAGUUGCAAAGCCAGAAUUUGCCCAAUCUCAAAGCCUUUUUAAUUCCUAUAAAGUUGAAAUGUUGCUUCCUCUGCUUAAGUAUACUGUUUUUAACAUAAUACCACCAUAAUUCUGUCUUAAAUUUGUAUGAAAUAUAGUUUUUUAGUGAUAUUCACCAAGCAAAGUUUACAAACUUUUGUGAACCAUUCUAUUUUGUAUAAUAAAAAUGGUAAUGUGCUUUGCCCCGGAUUGUAUACAAUAUUGUGAAAGAGGGAUAUGUAGAUUCUUUGUUGUUCCCAGGAUCUGGUUGAAAAGAAGACAUUGAUUUCAUUACUAAGGCACCCAGGAGAAGGGCAUGGCCCUAACCCUCAAAUAUGAGUAUUAUAGAAAAUUAACAGUUACCCAGGCAACCAUCCAAUGAGAAUCGUAGGAAAAUUAACAGUUCCACAGACAAUCAUCCAGUGACCACAUUGUCUCUUUUUGGACAUACCAUCUGACGCUUUCUGAAGAAGAUCUUGGGGUGUAAAUAACCCAGGACAGCACCGGAAGAAGCCGUCAGACCACAGGCUAAAUUCCUUAUUAAAAUCUAUAGCUUGCCUAUAAACAGAGACAGACUAUUUUUAAAUAAAAUAACUUCAUUAGUUCUAAAAUGUAGAUCUUGAAUUGUGACCAUAAUAAAAUGAGAAAAUAAAGUGUUUAUACUGAAGUUCAUUCCUUUUUACUUUACUGAUGCAGAGGAGCAGAAUACAAGAACCCAUAAAGGUCUCAGGCUUGCUGUGUUAUGUUGGCGAUGUUAUGUUGAAUUUGUUUCUUGGUCCAAUGUUGGCACUUGGAAAUGAAUUCAAUAUUUCAUUAUCAAUAUGAUCACGACAAUGUAUUGAAAUUUUGUAGAAAUCAAAUUCAAAAUGUGAAAAAUGAAACAUUAGUCAGUACUUUCCAGGAGGCCUUUACCAGGACCCAGUACCUCUCGUUGCAAAUCUACCUACUUCUCCAGUGAGAAGUGAAGAAGAAAGUCAACCCGGCACUGCCAAUGAAGCUACUCAGUUUCUACUCGUUUGGUUGCAACUAUGGAAGCUGAAAAUGACUUUUUGUAGAAUGUCAAAGUACUUCAAGAAGCAGUAAAUAUUGCAAAGUAGUUA
Long non-coding RNA from Diabrotica virgifera virgifera (western corn rootworm), 1432 nucleotides. RefSeq lists it as uncharacterized. The record is from RefSeq and is a predicted model, not a curated record. The transcript is spliced from 2 exons. NCBI's taxonomy places the organism in Eukaryota, Metazoa, Arthropoda, Insecta, Coleoptera, Chrysomelidae.